RNAcentral lists this ribosomal RNA (74 nucleotides) under Paenibacillus glycinis. RNAcentral's name for it is "partial 16S ribosomal RNA". It matches the Rfam family "Bacterial small subunit ribosomal RNA", at positions 1 to 72 of the family's 1533-position model. The record is from RNAcentral. Lineage: Bacteria; Bacillati; Bacillota; Bacilli; Caryophanales; Paenibacillaceae.
CUUUUAUGGAGAGUUUGAUCCUGGCUCAGGACGAACGCUGGCGGCGUGCCUAAUACAUGCAAGUCGAGCGGAGU